GUAUUCUUACGUGAUUGACCGUACCAUAAGAAUAAGCACCGGCUAACUCCGUGCCAGCAGCCGCGGUAAUACGGAGGGUGCAAGCGUUAUCCGGAUUCACUGGGUUUAAAGGGUGCGUAGGAGGGCAGGUAAGUCAGUGGUGAAAUCUCCGAGCUUAACUCGGAAACUGCCGUUGAUACUAUCUGUCUUGAAUACCGUGGAGGUGAGCGGAAUAUGUCAUGUAGCGGUGAAAUGCUUAGAUAUGACAUAGAACACCAAUUGCGAAGGCAGCUCACUACACGAAUAUUGACUCUGAGGCACGAAAGCGUGGGGAUCAAACAGGAUUAGAUACCCUGGUAGUCCACGCCCUAAACGAUGGAUACUCGACAUACGCGAUACACUGUGUGUGUCUGAGCGAAAGCAUUAAGUAUCCCACCUGGGAAGUACGACCGCAAGGUUGAAACUCAAAGGAAUUGACG
Molecule: ribosomal RNA, 458 nt
Filed under: uncultured Flavisolibacter sp.
Lineage: Bacteria; Pseudomonadati; Bacteroidota; Chitinophagia; Chitinophagales; Chitinophagaceae
Description: bacterial SSU rRNA
Rfam family: Bacterial small subunit ribosomal RNA
Source: RNAcentral